AAGAGAGUUUCCUAAAGCGAGGAAACCAAGCCGGGCGCCUCUUGCAAUGGAGACGGUCAUUUCUUCAGAUAGCUCCCCAGCUCUGGAAAAUGAGCAUCCUCAAGGUAAGUUUACUGAAGAAAGGAAACUGGGCAUGAAAACAAUAGCCUGAUCCUAACAAUGUCUUCAACAAUGCUUUUGAAUCUCUCCCCUGGGAAAAUCAAAGCAGGACCAGAUAAUGUGCCAAACCACAAAAAUCAGUGACAGUAGUUUGGCAAGAUCACCCAGGAAUAAAUCUUGGGCAGAGUGGGGAUGAUUAAUAUCUUCAGUUAUCAAACCACUUGAGAGAAACAUCUGAGGUACAGGCAAAACUUCCAUAGGCAACUCUGGGCUGGCUACCAUGUUUUAGAAGUCCUGGGUAUUUUCUGCAUAGUCCAGAAACAGUGCUACCAGGAUUUUAUCACCCAGCAAGCUCACUAAAGCCACUGAAUGUACACCAAAAAUUAUGCAAAGGGCUUGGUGCAGUGGCUUACGCCUGUAAUCCCAGCACUUUGGGAGGCCAAGGCAGGUGGAU
RNAcentral lists this small RNA (553 nucleotides) under Pan troglodytes (chimpanzee). Its description in RNAcentral is "retained intron". The record is from RNAcentral. Lineage: Eukaryota; Metazoa; Chordata; Mammalia; Primates; Hominidae.